RNAcentral lists this ribosomal RNA (253 nucleotides) under uncultured bacterium. RNAcentral's name for it is "partial 16S ribosomal RNA". It matches the Rfam family "Bacterial small subunit ribosomal RNA", at positions 524 to 776 of the family's 1533-position model. The record is from RNAcentral.
UACGGAGGGUGCAAGCGUUAUCCGGAUUCACUGGGUUUAAAGGGUGCGUAGGUGGGCAAGUAAGUCAGUGGUGAAAUCUCCGGGCUUAACCCGGAAACUGCCAUUGAUACUAUUUGUCUUGAAUACUGUGGAGGUCAGCGGAAUACGUCAUGUAGCGGUGAAAUGCUUAGAUAUGACAUAGAACACCAAUUGCGAAGGCAGCUGGCUACACAAAUAUUGACACUGAGGCACGAAAGCGUGGGGAUCAAACAGG